GCUACGGGAGGCGGCAGUGAGGAAUAUUGGUCAAUGGGCUUACGCCUGAACCAGCCAAGUCGCGUGAGGGAAGACUGCCCUAUGGGUUGUAAACCUCUUUUGUCAGGGAGCAAGUGGCGCUACGUGUAGCGUUAUCGAGAGUACCUGAAGAAAAAGCAUCGGCGAACUCCGUGCCAGCAGCCGCGGUAAUACGGAGGAUGCGAGCGUUCUCCGGAUUGAUGGGGUGUAAAGGGUGCGUAGGCGGAAUGCCAAGUCAGCGGUAAAAUCGCGGGGCUCAACCUCGCUCCGCCGUUGAAACGGGCGUUCUUGAUUGGGCGAGAAGUCUGCGGAAUGCGUGGUGUAGCGUU
Molecule: ribosomal RNA, 347 nt
Filed under: uncultured bacterium
Lineage: Bacteria
Description: partial 16S ribosomal RNA
Rfam family: Bacterial small subunit ribosomal RNA
Source: RNAcentral